AAUUUUGGACAAUGGGGGCAACCCUGAUCCAGCCAUGCCGCGUGUGUGAAGAAGGUCUUCGGAUUGUAAAGCACUUUAAGUUGGGAGGAAGGGCAGUAAGUUAAUACCUUGCUGUUUUGACGUUACCGACAGAAUAAGCACCGGCUAACUUCGUGCAAGCAGCCGCGGUAAUACGAAGGGUGCAAGCCUUAAUCGGAAUUACGGGGCGUAAAGCGCCGGUGGGGGGUUUUUUAAGUUGGAAGUGAAAGGCCCGGGCUCAACCUGGGAACUGCUUUUAAAACUGGCAAGCUAGAGUAUGGCAGAGGGUGGUUGAAUUUCCUGUGUAGCGGUGAAAAGCGUAGAUAUAGGAAGGAACACCAGUGGCGAAGGCGACCACCUGGGCUAAUACUGACACUGAGGUGCGAAAGCGUGGGGAGCAAAC
This 421-nucleotide ribosomal RNA is filed under the name uncultured bacterium. Its description in RNAcentral is "partial 16S ribosomal RNA". It matches the Rfam family "Bacterial small subunit ribosomal RNA", at positions 360 to 773 of the family's 1533-position model. The record is from RNAcentral.